This 269-nucleotide long non-coding RNA is filed under the name Prunus persica (peach). Its description in RNAcentral is "long non-coding RNA (PPER_LNC001215)". The record is from RNAcentral. Lineage: Eukaryota; Viridiplantae; Streptophyta; Magnoliopsida; Rosales; Rosaceae.
CGGCCAUUAAGCUCAUAAGGGUGCUUUGGAGAACCCCACAACUUGUUUGUAGAAUUUUUGGAUGCACAUAUUAAAUCAAUUGAAAUCCAAUGACAGUUAGAUCAACACUAGCUAGGUGCUCAAUUAUAGUGUUUGUUUGUACUGAUUUCCAUGAUGGCCAUCCAUUCACCCAAUCAUAUGUACAAAUUAUAUGAGAGCCUGCCUGCCUAUCAAACAAAUGCUACUUUUUUCCAAAGGGCUUUUGAGAAGAAGCAAUGUGCUGUCCAAAG